GUGGGGAAUUUUGGACAAUGGGCGCAAGCCUGAUCCAGCAAUGCCGCGUGCAGGAAGAAGGCCUUCGGGUUGUAAACUGCUUUUGUACGGAACGAAACGGUCCGGGUUAAUACCCUGGGCUAAUGACGGUACCGUAAGAAUAAGCACCGGCUAACUACGUGCCAGCAGCCGCGGUAAUACGUAGGGUGCAAGCGUUAAUCGGAAUUACUGGGCGUAAAGCGUGCGCAGGCGGUUUUGUAAGACAGGCGUGAAAUCCCCGGGCUCAACCUGGGAAUUGCAUCUGUGACUGCAUUGCUGGAGUGCGGCAGAGGGGGAUGGAAUUCCGCGUGUAGCAGUGAAAUGCGUAGAUAUGCGGAGGAACACCGAUGGCGAAGGCAAUCCCCUGGGCCUGCACUGACGCUCAUGCACGAAAGCGUGGGGAGCAAACAGGAUUAGAAACCCGUGUAGUCC
Molecule: ribosomal RNA, 450 nt
Filed under: uncultured bacterium
Lineage: Bacteria
Description: partial 16S ribosomal RNA
Rfam family: Bacterial small subunit ribosomal RNA
Source: RNAcentral